Molecule: ribosomal RNA, 466 nt
Filed under: uncultured bacterium
Lineage: Bacteria
Description: partial 16S ribosomal RNA
Rfam family: Bacterial small subunit ribosomal RNA
Source: RNAcentral
GAUGAACGCUGGCGGCGUGCUUAACACAUGCAAGUCGAACGGUGAAAGAGAGCUUGCUCUCUGGAUCAGUGGCGAACGGGUGAGUAACACGUGAGCAAUCUGCCCCUGACUCUGGGAUAAGCGCUGGAAACGGCGUCUAAUACCGGAUACGAGCUGCGAAGGCAUCUUCAGCAGCUGGAAAGAACUUCGGUCAGGGAUGAGCUCGCGGCCUAUCAGCUAGUUGGUGAGGUAACGGCUCACCAAGGUGUCGACGGGUAGCCGGCCUGAGAGGGUGACCGGCCACACUGGGACUGAGACACGGCCCAGACUCCUACGGGAGGCAGCAGUGGGGAAUAUUGCACAAUGGGCGAAAGCCUGAUGCAGCAACGCCGCGUGAGGGACGACGGCCUUCGGGUUGUAAACCUCUUUUAGCAGGGAAGAAGCGAAAGUGACGGUACCUGCAGAAAAAGCACCGGCUAACUACGUG